UCCGGCUUAUCACCGGCAGUCCCCUUAGAGUGCCCAACUAAAUGAUGGCAACUAAGGGCGAGGGUUGCGCUCGUUGCGGGACUUAACCCAACACCUCACGGCACGAGCUGACGACAGCCAUGCAGCAUCUGUGCACGCUCCCUUGCGGGUCCUUCCCCUUUCGGGGUCGUACCACGUGCAUGUCAAGCCCAGGUAAGGUUCUUCGCGUUGCAUCGAAUUAAACCACAUGCUCCACCGCUUGUGCGGGUCCCCGUCAAUUCCUUUGAGUUUUAAUCUUGCGACCGUACUCCCCAGGCGGUCUACUUCUCGCGUUAGCUGCGUUACUAAGGGAUUUAACUCCCCCAACAACUAGUAGACAUCGUUUAGGGCGUGGACUAC
RNAcentral lists this unclassified non-coding RNA (378 nucleotides) under uncultured bacterium. Its description in RNAcentral is "contains 16S-23S intergenic spacer region". The record is from RNAcentral.